Long non-coding RNA from Macrobrachium nipponense, 6156 nucleotides. RefSeq lists it as uncharacterized. The record is from RefSeq and is a predicted model, not a curated record. The transcript is spliced from 2 exons. NCBI's taxonomy places the organism in Eukaryota, Metazoa, Arthropoda, Malacostraca, Decapoda, Palaemonidae.
AGUUUAUUGCUGUGGUAAGAGGUCGAAUAAUAUUGAUAAUGUCAAGGAUAUUGCAGUACUGCAAAUUGUCAUUCUUAUGCAGCAGCAUUAUAAAUUAAGGUCUUGUCUGGGUUCAUAACAUUUGAAAAUAUAUUUCACAGUAUUUUUUCCAUUGCUGUUGUUUUGUAGUUUUUUGAUGCAUGUGUACAGUACUGGAAUACUUUAGAAUGGUUUACUUUUUAUUAAUGAGAACCUCUUUGUAGUAUAUAUUUUCUAAUGUAGAAUAGGAUUUCCAUUCUUUAUACUAUUCUAAUGUAGAAUAGGAUUUCCAUUCUUUCUUCCUUCUUGUAGGUGAAAAAAUAGUAAUUUUUGCCAUCUUUUUUGCUGUAAAUAAGAUGGCCUGUUCAUUGGUCAGAGGACAUUAAAGCUGUUGUGCCACUUUAAGGGAGGUGUAUUCAAUAUUAAAACUGGGUUGAAGGACCUUUCCUAUUUGAUAGGAACUUCUUAUCCACCUGGCAAUUUGCCAUUGGUACUAUUGAUAACAUAUAUAGCCAGUGAGUGUUCAUUUUUAGUAGCUGCAUUCUGAUUAUAAGAAAGAGCAGGUUUGUGUUCAAUGCAAGGCAUCUCUUGUGAAUUUAGUGGUUACAGACUGACCUCUACUUUACAAAUUUCAAAAUUAAUGUAUGAUAAUGUGCAAAUCUUUAAAGAUCAACUUACGGUAGUAUGUAACUGAAAUAUGAGGUAAUAUACCAUAAAUGAAAAUAAGACAUUCUGUAAAAAUCAACUUGCGGUAAUAACUGAAAUAUGAGAUUAUGCCAAAAAUGAAAAAGAAAACAUUUGUUCUUAUUAAAGAGGAAAUAAAGGAAUAGGCACAUAUUAAAAGUAGUGUAAAAUGUAAUGCACUAUACAGGAGUCAAUGCAGUUCCCUCACUGACAUCCAAUCCAUCUCAUAAUUGGUGGUAAGGAAUCAAAUUUGGUUGUCAGUCAGACUACAUCAUGUGAUCCUAGUUCUUUUGUAAACAUGUAUUGAGGUUGCUGUGAAUGUUUAAGGGUUCUGUGUUAAGAUGAUAGUAAGGAUUCCUUAGGAUAAGGUGAUUUAUCUGGAUGAUCUGUGUGGCACUCAUGACAUUUCAUGGUUUCCCUGAGAACUGCAGAGGUCUCCUCUAUUCUUUUUAGCUUUCGAGAGGCAUUGGGGAUGUUACCUUCAUGACUACUGCUUGAAACACUUAGCAGCAUUUUCUUGUGUAGUUGCAGAAUAGUGGACAUCCUAACUUGCCUCCUUACUAUUUUAUAUGAACUUUUAACGGUAAGGAUUUUUCAUAGUUUGGUUUUUGUCUUGCACUCAACUUAUCCCUGUGUUGGGUACUGCCAGGUGCAGUGCAUUGUAGAUACCAUUAAAGUGCUCUCUAUAGUACUUGUAUCAGUCUUGUCCCUGGCCAUGCAGUCUUUUUCCUUUUCAUCUAUUCCUAUUGGUCUGAUCUGGUAAGCUGUUAAACUUCUUGAAGUUUAUUGUACUUCAGUUUUCAUCUCUCACUUAAGAACAAGUGCUUCAUGCAAGCCGUAUGAUAAUUUUAAAAAGUGGCUUGGUAAACUAAUGCACAGGAAUCCUACAGUGCAAAAUAUAAUGUAGAUCUACUGUACAUUGUACAUUUUUCUCACUGUAACACAGACUAUGGAUAAUGAACUGUUUAACUAUUACAAAAGUUGAAACAAGAUAAUGUACUUAAUAUAUUUUAAUUAUAUUGCAUUGGCAAAACUACUUACUUGAACACUUAUCUUUUAUGGGAAUGUUACACCAAGUAAAGCUUACAGAAUUUUGCUGUGACUUGACAUAUCUCCCACUUGUACAUAUUUGCCUUGCCUGUGUGCUUUAUUCUCCUAUACAAGCUGAGAGUGUAAAAAUUAGGACCUAGAGCUCAAUAAUACAUACAGCAAUAUUUUGAGCAUGAAAUGUCAGCAGGUUUUUUGGGGAUAGAAGCAACUGGUUCUGUAGUUGUCAAGACACUACACUGGCAGUGAAUGACUGAGGACUUGUCAGUUUGGUCUAAUGUAACAUAAGAGGAUGCACUGAUGCCUCAUCCUGGUCAUGAAAUUGUGCUGAGUGUCAGAUUCUUUUGAUUGUUUUAUACCAUUGUUAACCAUAGUACGAUCUGCAACGGUAUGUACUCACUACGUAAAUAUAAACCUAUGUCUGAUUACUUCUAACUAACGUUAUAGGGUUUAAAUUCUAAUAAUUUGUUAGUCAGUCUUGGACUGUCAUGCCAAAAAUGGUAUGAAAGGUAGACAUAAUCUUAUGGGUUCUCAAGAAGAGGCAAAAGAUAGCUUAAAAUUAUAUUUUGUACGUAAUUAUGUACAGAGAAUUGAGAAUUGCAAUGUGCAAUGAAUCCCUCUUUAUAAUAGGAAUUUAAUUGAAGAAUGGUAUCAAGUUUUGAAUUUUUAGCAGAUAUUUUGCAAUUAACAGUCUAGGUACUGUUAAAUUUUAACUGCAAAAUGUGAUUAGAGAAACGUUACAAACUUGUUUGGAGAAUUAACAAUGAUAUCAACACUAAGAGAAACAUCACAAACUUGUUUGGAAAACUAACAAUGAUAACACUAACUACAAAUUGUAUAUUUGGUUUUUGAUUAAGUGAAAAGUUGUGUUUAGUACUUACUAAAAGAAACUAGAAAGGAGAGAGUAAUCUGAUUGUGACCAUGGCCAAUGAACUUCAGUAAGCAUUAAAGUACAGACCUUAUACAAUCCAUUUUGAUACAAGAGUCAAAUUUGAUUCAAAAACUUUGUUGUAAAGCUAUAAUAUUUCUUAUAAGACACACUUAUUAUAUACUAAUAAUACUGUUAAUUACAAUAUUAGGUAGCGAUUUUAUUUGCUUGAUUGCCUUUACCUGCUUACUAAUGAAAAAUAUUCUUUUACUUUUAGACUUGUAGAUUUAGAUUCCAGAUACAAUAUCAUCAAACAACAUACUACAGGCAGCCCCCAGUUAACAGCAGCGCCGGUUAACAGCAAUCUGGUUUUACGAGGCUUGUCUAGCGAUGGUUUUAACUAGAUUUUCUGUGCUGAUGUUUGGUUAGCAGCGCCGAUCUCUGGUUAACGGUGCCGAUGUCCGGUUAACAGCGCUGUUAAGCAAUUAUUUAGUGCUGUUAAUCCUGAUUUUCGGUUAGCAGCAUCAGCCGGGAACGGAACCCCUGCCGUUAAACAGGGACUGCCUGUAUACAUUAGGGAAUACAUGGAGAUUGAACAGAUGUUGAGAAUCAAGUUAGGAAUUCUGAGUUUUCCUUUCAAUUGCAAUGGCAUAUUAAUGUGGAAAACUGAUGAUCUCUGCCGAGCAUAAGUAAAUGCACACCAAAAACAAAUAAGAUAAUUGUUAGUAAAAUGGUGACCUAAAGAUAAUGUCUUAACCCAUUUCUAUUUUUUCCAUUCUACUGUACUAUACACCAAUGCAUAUGAGAUUGGAAGCAAAUUAUUAAAAGGAAUUUUGUUAAAAUUGUCAAUAUUUUCAAUCUAUUGAGCAAUAAUAAUAAUUUUUCAAGUAGUUGCUAUAUCUGAAAUGAGAUUAUUAUGUUCAUUGAGAAUAAGCACUUCUGACCAGAUCUGUGAGAGUUUAGAAUUUUACCUUAGUAUCCUGGUUGAACUGUUACCAUUAUUAAAUAAUAAUUACAGUAGUAUAUGUUUGCUUUUGACUCGGUUGUUCUCAAUUUUUUCAUGGUGUAAAUCCAGGAUAUAUAGAAAACAUCUGUUCAUACUCUGUACAAUGGUUCAUGGAUUUCUUUGCAUACUGUACAUGAAGCAGAAUUAUUAGUUUAACAAUUUGUACAUCAAUGAGCAACAAUGUAAAAGGGAAGUUCACAACAGAUGUUUAAAGCUAAACUGCCAACACAAAAAUGUAGUACUACUGCCUUUCAUUCUAAAUGGUUGUCCAAACCAGGUGAAAACUGUACUGCCCAUGUUACUGACAUUUAGGUAUCUGUGGUGUAGUUUUUGUGAUUGACAGACUUUAUUGCUUUGCGAGAUUUGUCAUGAAUAGGAUCUCACUAAGUUGUUUUAUAAGACCUCAUCAGAUUUUGAAAGUUCUUGUAAGAACUGUUUACCAGAUCACUUUGGUAGCCUGUAAUAAAGCAUCGUUAGUGCAGUAAUAUAAAAAUCUCACAAAGAUGAAUUGCUUUGCGGAACAAAUCCAGUCUUAAAGCACCAAUGAAAAAGACCUAAUGAAUUCUUCUAUUAUUCAAAUAAGUGAAAUAAAUAUUUAUCUUUAAAAGUAUUGGUGUACAUUGUUCCCAGCUCUUUGACUUACAUCUAUACAAAUUUGGAAGUAACAAGUGUCCCCACAUGGCAGCACAGCUAACCUGGCCUCAAUUGUGAAUUAACCUCAUUCCAGUAUGUAAAUUUUUUAAUUGAAUUAGUGAACAUAUUCAAUGAUCAUAUGGCUGUGGCAUUGGAAGCAUUCCUAAAUUUUAUGAUUUCAGUAAAUUGUAAAAUGUACAUAGGUUUGCAAUAAAAUAUUCAUUGACAUAUACAAAUUUAUGAGAUAAAUUUUCUUUAUAUAUGAUUACGUAAGUUCGUAAAACUGCUGCAUUUAGAUUAGGCAUACAACAUUUUUCCCUUUGUCAACUUCAGUGGUCACUUGUUCGGUGGUGGUAGUGUGAGCAGCAACUGAGGACAUCCAGCAACUUAGCAAGAGCCCUACACUUGCAAUAAGAGUCAUGUACACAGCCCAACCUAUUGUAGGAAAAAUAUUGUUUUAGUGAGCUGAUUUCCAUGAGGAAGGGUACUGAAUUUCAAAUUAACCAUCACAAAAAAUGAAGCAAUGAAGGAUGUGUCCCCUUUUAGAACACUUUGGAUACAAAUGUUAUACGUAUAUACAUUUAAGAACAACUUUUUAAAAGUCAUUGCUAAUUAAAAGUUUGAUUACUUUAUGGGAACCUAAUAGUAUAGUACAGUUUAGACAAAUGAUAGUAAUCCUAUAGAAACUACAAUCCUUGCUCAGUUCCCGAACUGACAAACUUGAGAGUUUUCAUAUGAUGCUUAUUGAUUGUUUUUUUAAACAAAAAUUUUAGAUAAAUGGAUAAUUUUAAGGUGUAUUUUUAAAUUUUAUAAUACUUUUUGUACUCAUGAAUGAAUGUUAAAAACAUCUAUUAGAAAGAACAGUACACCCAGUUUACAAGGCCUCAUUGCAAGCUGAUCUUUCAUGAUAUUUCAGUUAUUGCACAUCUGGAAGUAGAGAUUUCACAAAGGCAUAUUGACUGAAAGGGUUAAUACAUGUUGACACUUGUUCCAGUAAAGCCUAGCCAACCUUUUUGCCAAAAGUGGGUUACUAUUUUCUGUGAUGAUCAUCCUCUGUACUUGUUGGUACUUUGAUGGCUGAAAUCAGUGAUGGUGAAAGAUGUUAUGUCUGAAUUGAGAAGUCUAAAGAAACAAUGCUCUUAAUAAAGGAUUCUGAUGCAUAUUUGCCUUGGAACUGAUUCGAAUGGGAAAUUAAGACGUUGAAAGCCUUUUCAAUAUACAGUAAUAUAAGUUAGAAGACAGUGGAGAGAUGUAGAUGGAGUAGUAUGUGAUAAGAAAAUGCCAAUUAAGCUAAUAGUCAAAAUCUAUGGCACAGUAAGAAGACCAGUGUUAAUGUAUGGAUUGGAAAGAUGAGCUCUAAGAAGAAAAGAGGAAGUAAAGCUUGAAAGAACAGAGAUGAGAAUGCUGAGGUGGAUUAUGGGAAUAUUGCUGCUUGAGAGAUUGGAAAAUGAUAAACUAAGAAGAGCAGGCUUAGUAAAGAUUUCAGAGGUGAUAGGAGUCAGGAUUGAGAUGUUAUGGGCAUGUGUUGAGGAUGAAUGACGAGAAGGGAGUGAAAAGGGCUGGGGAAGAACCUGUUAGAGGAAGAAGAUCGAGAGGGUGACAGAGAAUUACAUGGCGAGAUAAAUUGAAGGAAGGUAUGGAGAGAAGAGGUUUGAUGGAUGAUGAUGUCUUUGAUAGAAGGCAGUGGAAAAGGCGCAUCAGGCAACCGACCCCUUAAUGUGGGGAUAAUGGUGGGAAAAAAAGAAGAGUAUAAGUUAGAAGACAAGAACUGAUUAAACAAAUCAUAGAAACUUGAAGGUAUAGAUUAUUAUUGUGGUGUAUAUCAUAUGAUUGAAAUUAUAUAAUUCCUAACAUUUACAAUUGUAGAACUGUACUGAUAAUUAUUGAAGAAAUGACUCUC